This 332-nucleotide ribosomal RNA is filed under the name uncultured bacterium. Its description in RNAcentral is "bacterial SSU rRNA". It matches the Rfam family "Bacterial small subunit ribosomal RNA", at positions 29 to 383 of the family's 1533-position model. The record is from RNAcentral.
AACGAACGCUGGCGGCAGGCCUAACACAUGCAAGUCGAACGAGGUCUUCGGAUCUAGUGGCGGACGGGUGAGUAACGCGUGGGAACGUGCCCUUCUCUACGGAAUAGUCCUGGGAAACUGGGUUUAAUACCGUAUACGCCCUUCGGGGGAAAGAAUUUCGGGGAAGGAUCGGCCCGCGUUGGAUUAGGUAGUUGGUGGGGUAAUGGCCUAACCCAAGCCGACGAGUCCAUAGCUGGUUUAGAGACGGAAUGAUCAGCCACACUGGGACUGAGACACGGCCCAGACUCCUACGGGAGGCAGCAGUGGGGAAUCUUAGACAAUGGGGGCAACCC